UCACCAUCGAGACCGGCAGAGGGACAGGCCCUUUGAAGCCGGGGCAGCCCGCAGGCGCGCAAGCGACUGCGUAGGUGCCAAAUCCUGCGGGGACCGUGGCGUCCACCGAAAGAUGGUUC
This is a non-coding RNA of Stenotrophomonas maltophilia SKK35, 119 nucleotides long. Lineage: Bacteria; Pseudomonadati; Pseudomonadota; Gammaproteobacteria; Lysobacterales; Lysobacteraceae. The record is from Rfam.